CACUUCGUCUUUGAUUUACUUUUCCUUAGUAACGUAGCUUCUCCUCAACCUAUACUAUCGGUUCAUGCCGCUCGCUUACUUAUGCUUCCGCUCUAUCCAAGUCAAGCUAGACUGUCUUAUAAUAUCAUCUAGUAGCAUUCUCCGGUCAAUCAAACAAUCAAGCCAGUAAGCUAACCUUUUAUGAGCCAAGCUGCAACCCUGUCAGCCAGUAGUGAAAACCUUUUG
This 225-nucleotide long non-coding RNA is filed under the name Oryza brachyantha (malo sina). RNAcentral describes it as "long non-coding RNA (OBRA_LNC003653)". The record is from RNAcentral. Lineage: Eukaryota; Viridiplantae; Streptophyta; Magnoliopsida; Poales; Poaceae.